AAGCCCUUAAAGUUUUUUUUUGGCCAUUUGAACUCUUAAUAUUUAUAAAUAGUGCAGAAAAAUCUUUAAAUUUUGGUCAAAUGACUAAAAAAGGUCAAACUUUUUAUGAAAAUUUCACAAAAGUCCAAACCUUUCAAUUUUAUCAAAUUUGUCCUGAAACGCAUGAUUUCAUUUUAAUUAUGUCCAAUUACGUGAUUUUGCCCAUGUGGCGCCUACGUGGGUUGAUGUGGCAUGCCACACAUUAGCGCCACAUAAGUAAAAUUGUGUAGUUGGAUAUAACUAAAACGAAAUCAUGCGUUUUAGAACAAAUUGGAUAAAAUUGAAAGGUUUGAAUUUUUAUGAAAUUUUUAUGAAAGGUUUGGCAUUUUUUGAUUAUUUGACCUUAAAUUUUUUAGAAAGAGCAUUUAAAAUUCUUUGAUUUAUUUUUAACACUCAACUCCUCAAAUUUUUAGUUAUUUUUGUGAUUUUCUUUUCCAACGUAAAAGUUCACUUGCACAAUUUCAAAAUAUUGAAAGUUCAAAAAAAGAAAAAGUUCAAAAAAAUCAUUUUCUCUUGACGAAUCACAAAACGGAUCCGAUCUCUUGGUACCUGCACACAACAGUAAACAGAGGCCAGAAGAAAUUCCGGUGGGGGUCACCGGUCGUUCGCUCAAACGCUCAAGUGAGUUUUUCAGUUUAUUAGGUGCAUCAGACACAUGGAACAUUCUUUUUGCUCUUGUCAGAGGAUCUUCUGUGGUCCCUCGAAUCAGUUACACGUGAGUAUUGAUCCUCUGGGUUUUUCGGGUGUUAGUCUCGUUCUGAGGCACUUCAGAGACUGACCUAAUGGUAUUGUUCAGCCGAACUAUGAUGUCGAUCAUCAUAACUCGGGAGGACGUUUUCCAGUGACCUUUGCACUUCGGCUGGACCGAGGUGUGAUCUUGUCUCUUGUAGCUCGGUGACCCCCUAGACACUAGUUUCACGGGCUUGGAAGCUUCUCAAUUCGGAUUCUUCUAGUUGAUCUUUGGCCUAGCAAAUUUGGAAAUGACUUUUUGGACUCUCGAAUUCCUUGUUAAGAAGAGAGGUAGAAUGGCGGGCGUCGGAGAUACGAGAAUAAAUCGCACCGCUGUCAGCACCUCAGCCAGAAAAUCCAACAAUCGACAAUCCAUCGCUGCCGCCAUCAAUCGACAACCCGCCGCCGCCGUCGUCAAAUCCAUCAAUUGACAACCCAUCGCCGCCGCCAUCGCCAGCAAACCCAUAGAUCCGCAACCCAUCGCCAUUUUAGGGGCAACCUUACGAUAUAAAAUACUUUUGUUAUUAUCGGUGAUGAGGAUUUUGUAUUUUUCAAUAUUUUGAGCGUAAAAAGUCAAGAAGAAACGUAAAGAAGAAGGGAGGAAGAAGACUGAUGUAUUUUGGCAAGGGGAUAAGUGUGUUUGUAUAAUUGUAUCACUGAGAAUAAGUAGCUGUUUGGUGGUGUAGAGUCUAAUUUCCUAAAAAAAAAAAAUCGGGUCAAGUAUAAAAAAACUACUCCCUCCGUCCCGUUUAAGAAGUCCCAUAUUCCAUUUUGGGAUGUCCCAUUUAAAAAGUCCCAUUACCAUUUUUAGAA
Mercurialis annua (annual mercury) is the source of this 1581-nucleotide long non-coding RNA. RefSeq lists it as uncharacterized. The record is from RefSeq and is a predicted model, not a curated record. Lineage: Eukaryota; Viridiplantae; Streptophyta; Magnoliopsida; Malpighiales; Euphorbiaceae. The transcript is spliced from 5 exons.